UAACUCAACGAUCAGAGUAUCCGGCUUAUAUCCGGCUAGUUCGGGGUUCGAAUCCCUGA
This 59-nucleotide transfer RNA is filed under the name Caudoviricetes sp. Its description in RNAcentral is "tRNA-Ile". It matches the Rfam family "tRNA", at positions 8 to 63 of the family's 71-position model. From Rfam's summary of the family: Transfer RNA (tRNA) molecules are approximately 80 nucleotides in length. Their secondary structure includes four short double-helical elements and three loops (D, anti-codon, and T loops). The record is from RNAcentral. Lineage: Duplodnaviria; Heunggongvirae; Uroviricota; Caudoviricetes.